Molecule: non-coding RNA, 42 nt
Filed under: unclassified sequences
Description: Ocean-VII RNA
Rfam family: Ocean-VII RNA
About the family: marine metagenomes. Environment (Puerto Rico trench)
Source: Rfam by way of RNAcentral
UGAGUAUCAGAGAUUAGUAGGGGGAGAACAAGUCCCUCAGAC